GCUGGGAAGCAUACCGCUGGGUCGGGGCAGUGGGUGUGGAGCCUUUUAUUGGGGUUUAAUGUUCGUCCACGACCCGAAUAGGUAGAAAUACCGAAAGAAAACAUUAAA
RNAcentral lists this small RNA (108 nucleotides) under uncultured Ruminiclostridium sp. Its description in RNAcentral is "drum RNA". It matches the Rfam family "drum RNA". Rfam says of the family: Firmicutes, Bacteroidetes (1 example), Proteobacteria (2 examples), Spirochaetes (2 examples). Lineage: Bacteria; Bacillati; Bacillota; Clostridia; Eubacteriales; Oscillospiraceae. The record is from RNAcentral.